CCUACGGGUGGCUGCAGUGAGGAAUAUUGGUCAAUGGACGAGAGUCUGAACCAGCCAAGUAGCGUGAAGGAUGACUGCCCUAUGGGUUGUAAACUUCUUUUAUAUGGGAAUAAAAUGUUCCACGUGUGGGAUUUUGUAUGUACCAUAUGAAUAAGGAUCGGCUAACUCCGUGCCAGCAGCCGCGGUAAUACGGAGGAUCCGAGCGUUAUCCGGAUUUAUUGGGUUUAAAGGGAGCGUAGGGGGAUUGUUAAGUCAGUUGUGAAAGUUUGCGGCUCAACCGUAAAAUUGCAGUUGAAACUGGCAGUCUUGAGUACAGUAGAGGUGGGCGGAAUUCGGGGUGUAGCGGUGAAAUGCUUAGAUAUCACGAAGAACUCCGAUUGCGAAGGCAGUUCACUGGACUGCAACUGACACUGAGGCUCGAAAGUGUGGGUAUCAAACAGGAUUAGAUACCCGAGUAGUC
This 460-nucleotide ribosomal RNA is filed under the name uncultured bacterium. Its description in RNAcentral is "partial 16S ribosomal RNA". It matches the Rfam family "Bacterial small subunit ribosomal RNA", at positions 338 to 795 of the family's 1533-position model. The record is from RNAcentral.